Molecule: ribosomal RNA, 428 nt
Filed under: uncultured bacterium
Lineage: Bacteria
Description: bacterial SSU rRNA
Rfam family: Bacterial small subunit ribosomal RNA
Source: RNAcentral
UGGGGAAUCUUGCGCAAUGGGCGAAAGCCUGACGCAGCGACGCCGCGUGGGUGAUGAAGGCCUUCGGGUUGUAAAGCCCUGUGGGGAGAGAAGAAUGAGUUGGUCUAAACAUGGCCAGCGAUGACGGUAUCUCCUUAGCAAGCACCGGCUAACUCUGUGCCAGCAGCCGCGGUAAUACAGAGGGUGCAAACGUUGUUCGGAAUUACUGGGCGUAAAGCGCGUGUAGGCGGCUAUGCAAGUCGGGUGUGAAAGCCCUGGGCUCAACCCAGGAAGUGCAUUCGAUACUGCGUAGCUGGAGUCCCGGAGAGGAUGGUGGAACUCUCGGUGUAGAGGUGAAAUUCGUAGAUAUCGAGAAGAACACCUGUGGCGAAGGCGGCCAUCUGGACGGUGACUGACGCUGAGACGCGAAAGCGUGGGGAGCAAACAGG